Molecule: ribosomal RNA, 501 nt
Filed under: uncultured bacterium
Lineage: Bacteria
Description: partial 16S ribosomal RNA
Rfam family: Bacterial small subunit ribosomal RNA
Source: RNAcentral
AUUGAACGCUGGCGGCAGGCUUAACACAUGCAAGUCGAGCGGAGCGAGGGUGCUUGCACCUUAGCUUAGCGGCGGACGGGUGAGUAAUGCUUAGGAAUCUGCCUAUUAGUGGGGGACAACAUUCCGAAAGGGAUGCUAAUACCGCAUACGCCCUACGGGGGAAAGCAGGGGAUCUUCGGACCUGGCGCUAGUAGAUGAGCCUAAGUCGGAUUAGCUAGUUGGUGGGGUAAAGGCCUACCAAGGCGACGAUCUGUAGCGGGUCUGAGAGGAUGAUCCGCCACACUGGGACUGAGACACGGCCCAGACUCCUACGGGAGGCAGCAGUGGGGAAUAUUGGACAAUGGGCGGAAGCCUGAUCCAGCCAUGCCGCGUGUGUGAAGAAGGCCUUUUGGUUGUAAAGCACUUUAAGCGAGGAGGAGGCUACUAGUAUUAGUACUACUGGAUAGUGGACGUUACUCGCAGAAUAAGCACCGGCUAACUCUGUGCCAGCCGCCGCAGUAA